CGUACACUAAUUUACGCUGGUGCACGGGAAGCUGGUGAGAUUCCAGCACAGCCCCGCUACUGUAAGCGCGGAGAAUCGAACGAAAAAGCCACUGUUUCCCCCGGGGAACGGGAAGGCCGUACGAUUUGACGAUGCGCAAGUCAGGAGACCGGCCAGCGCGUAACCAAACAA
This 171-nucleotide non-coding RNA is filed under the name Candidatus Solibacter usitatus. Lineage: Bacteria; Pseudomonadati; Acidobacteriota; Terriglobia; Bryobacterales; Solibacteraceae. The record is from RNAcentral.